UUCCCCUCCGCCACCAUCACCGCCUCCUCCUCCUUCUCCACCGCCACCAUCACCCCCGCCACCGUCGCCUCCGCCGCCAUCUCCACCUCCUCCUCCUUCUCCACCGCCACCAUCACCCCCGCCACCGUCGCCUCCGCCGCCAUCUCCACCGCCUCCGCCUUCAUCGCAUUCCCGUCGUGUCUCCAUUUCUAUGAUUGCAGUGACUAUUAUAACAUCUCUCUGUUAUUAGAUGGCUCAUUGGAGCUCCAAUUUGUAUAGCUGAGAGGUUUCCGUUUCGAGUUGUGAGUCUUUCAUUUGGAAUGGAAAUUUAUGCACAAGGCCACAGUGAAUGCCCUCGCGAGGCUCGUCCAAUCUUGCAAGAACUUGGAGGAGGGCCGAUGCCUCCACGCCGGG
This 393-nucleotide long non-coding RNA is filed under the name Selaginella moellendorffii. RNAcentral describes it as "long non-coding RNA (SMOE_LNC002281)". The record is from RNAcentral. Lineage: Eukaryota; Viridiplantae; Streptophyta; Lycopodiopsida; Selaginellales; Selaginellaceae.